RNAcentral lists this long non-coding RNA (452 nucleotides) under Homo sapiens (human). RNAcentral's name for it is "HSALNT0302519". The record is from RNAcentral. Lineage: Eukaryota; Metazoa; Chordata; Mammalia; Primates; Hominidae.
GGCCUCCCAAAGUGCUGGGAUUACAGUGGUGUCUCCAAAUCCUGAGUCUUCUGUGAGGUCCAUGGGGGCCAUGAAAAUGUGGAAUACAACAGGGACCAUCAUUUAGAGAUGGCCUGGCUGUGAUUAUAGCAGCCCUGCUCUGUCUUUACUAACAAGCCAGCAGCAUGUAAGAACACACUGUGGAUGUGUGUGUUUUCUUCUUCUGUGUUUUAUUUUCUCAAAAAGAAUGACUGAUGACUUUCUUUUGCAAAUUGUACUAUAUUAUUCCAAUUGCAGUGGUAAGUUCUGCCAACAUUUUUUGAUGCAUAAGGACUGUUUUGAAUCUAUUGUUUUAUUAUGUCUUUUUUUUUGCAAAAUUAAGAAUAUUUUCUGUUUCUUAGUAAUCAUGUUAAAUUAAUGUACAGUGUUAUGACACUGAGCAUAAGCCUUUGAAUAAGUCCUCAGAAAAUAUA